GUUGUUAGUGCUCGAUAAUGUCCACAUAGAAUCUAGCCCCUUAUUGAUAAUUUAGGGUUCAUCAAUAUCUACGAUCUCUGCCAUCAGAGAGGCUGAGGUCGGCGUGACGAUUCCGUUCGUUGGGGUUUAGAUCACGUCCUUUCACCUUCGUUCCAUCCAUCGAAACGAGACAGUUUCCAGAUCGCAUUAAACAUGUUCCUAACUACCAUAGCCACGAACUAUGUGUGUGAAUCUUCUUAGAGGCGGUAUUUCUAAGAGUAUAAAAAGAAUUCAAAGCUAGAUACAACGUGUUAGGCUGUUCCAGGAUGCAAAUAGGUCUUGAAUUGAUUCAUCUCGGCGGCGGCAGUUUCGGCAACUAACGAUGCUAACUCUCGAGAACGCCGGUGGUUUCACGUCGUUGCUUGAGCCUCCACUUGCCGUCAUUGUAUUUUCAAGUACUGCCCUUACGGAAUUUUUUUUGAUAUCUCCACCGCCGCUUCACCAUUACGGAACAUUGACUAGCCCAAAACAAUCGGUCUCGCAAGAGAAUAGAACUCAACAAAAAGGCUAAAAGCUUAACAAAGACGAAGAACAAAGCUCGGAAGAGAACGAGAAGCUUUCAUAUGUUCAUGUUAGAGUUCGCUGUGGUGAAGCAACAGAUAGCCAUAGCAGAACGAAUUAUAGGCAAGAAGGGAGAAAAUUAAUACACGGAUGAAGCUGCUAUAGGAACUGGUUCCAGGCUGUGAUAAGGUUUGUCUCUGAGAUAAUGACUUGCGAUCAAUAUGCUAAUUAAUCUUAAUAUCUUCGAUUAUGCUUAACGACAGGAUAUUUUUCUAAAUAGAUUCACCUAAAGAUAAGAAUAUUGAAUAGUUUUGAUGAUAUAGUUUGUUUUUGUUAAAUAAUCAACACAAAAAGUGGAUUGCUUAAUCGCUUUUUAUGAAGAAGAGUGGUUUCUGGUUUGCCAAAGUGGCCUUAAAGGUCUUAACUUUAUUAUUUCUGUGUUGGGAGAAGUAUCCUCACAGGAAAAAUUCUGGCUUGAAAUCAGAAUGCAGCCUUACUCAAGAAGAUAGUAAUAAAAGUUCCGGAAAUGACUUGAGAGACAAAGACGAUUUGAGUAGGGAUAGAUUAUCUUUUCGCACAUACUCUGUUUUUUCUGUAAAACAAACCUAGCAAUGCCUAAGUAGAGCGGCCAUUGUUUCUGCAGUUGCCUUCAAAAGUGAUGAAGCAGACAAUGCAGAAGAAGAAAACAAUGAUAUCUUCUAUGAUUCCGAAAGUGACCAUGUUUUUUGUUUUUCUUUUUUUUUUAGUUUUGAGCCUCUGUUUCUAUAUCUGAUAGAAAAUUCCUUUAUGAGAUUCAGGGAGUUUAGAGACAUUGAUGACUCUGAGUGACACUUCUGGAUUGUUUGGAAGGUCUCAACUUCUCGGAUGGGGCUAAUUUGUAAUUCUCUUUUUUUGUUUUGUUUUUAUGCUACAACUAACGUGUAAUUCUCAAUCUCUCAAACCUUCGUAUGCUUUUAUCAAGGAAACACAAGAAACUAGAAAAUCA
This is a long non-coding RNA of Raphanus sativus (radish), 1525 nucleotides long. RefSeq lists it as uncharacterized. The transcript has 4 exons. Lineage: Eukaryota; Viridiplantae; Streptophyta; Magnoliopsida; Brassicales; Brassicaceae. The record is from RefSeq and is a predicted model, not a curated record.